RNAcentral lists this ribosomal RNA (253 nucleotides) under uncultured bacterium. RNAcentral describes it as "partial 16S ribosomal RNA". It matches the Rfam family "Bacterial small subunit ribosomal RNA", at positions 524 to 776 of the family's 1533-position model. The record is from RNAcentral.
UACGAAGGGGGCUAGCGUUGCUCGGAAUCACUGGGCGUAAAGCGCACGUAGGCGGAUCUAUAAGUCAGGGGUGAAAUCCUGGAGCUCAACUCCAGAACUGCCUUUGAUACUGAGGAUCUUGAGUCCGGGAGAGGUGAGUGGAACUGCGAGUGUAGAGGUGAAAUUCGUAGAUAUUCGCAAGCACACCAGUGGCGCUGGCGGCUCCCUUUCCCGGUACUGACGCUGAGGCGCGAAAGCGUGGGGAGCAAACAGG